Molecule: ribosomal RNA, 253 nt
Filed under: uncultured Parabacteroides sp.
Lineage: Bacteria; Pseudomonadati; Bacteroidota; Bacteroidia; Bacteroidales; Tannerellaceae
Description: partial 16S ribosomal RNA
Rfam family: Bacterial small subunit ribosomal RNA
Source: RNAcentral
UACGGAGGAUGCGAGCGUUAUCCGGAUUUAUUGGGUUUAAAGGGUGCGUAGGUUGUUUUUUAAGUCAGCGGUGAAAGUUUGUGGCUCAACCAUAAAAUUGCCGUUGAAACUGGAAGACUUGAGUGUGUUUGAGGUGGGCGGAAUUCGUGGUGUGGCGGUGAAAUGCUUAGAUAUCACGCAGAACUCCGAUUGCGAAGGCAGCUUACUAAGCCAUAACUGACACUGAAGCACGAAAGCGUGGGUAUCGAACAGG